Molecule: ribosomal RNA, 253 nt
Filed under: uncultured bacterium
Lineage: Bacteria
Description: partial 16S ribosomal RNA
Rfam family: Bacterial small subunit ribosomal RNA
Source: RNAcentral
GACGUAGGGGGCAAGCGUUGUCCGGAUUUAUUGGGCGUAAAGAGCGUGUAGGCGGCCGUACAGGUCAGCUGUGAAAACUCGAGGCUCAACCUCGAGACGUCGGUUGAAACCGUACGGCUAGAGUCCGGAAGAGGAGAGUGGAAUUCCCGGUGUAGCGGUGAAAUGCGUAGAUAUCGGGAAGAACACCCGUGGCGAAGGCGGCUCUCUGGGACGGUACUGACGCUGAGACGCGAAAGCGUGGGGAGCGAACAGG